GUCCCCUUAGUUCAGCUGGAUAGAACAAGGACCUCCUAAGUCUUAGACACAGGUUCGAAUCCUGUAGGGGACGCCA
RNAcentral lists this transfer RNA (76 nucleotides) under Vibrio sp. RNAcentral describes it as "tRNA-Arg". It matches the Rfam family "tRNA". From Rfam's summary of the family: Transfer RNA (tRNA) molecules are approximately 80 nucleotides in length. Their secondary structure includes four short double-helical elements and three loops (D, anti-codon, and T loops). Further hydrogen bonds mediate the characteristic L-shaped molecular structure. tRNAs have two regions of fundamental functional importance: the anti-codon, which is responsible for specific mRNA codon recognition, and the 3' end, to which the tRNAs corresponding amino acid is attached (by aminoacyl-tRNA synthetases). tRNAs cope with the degeneracy of the genetic code in two manners: having more than one tRNA (with a specific anti-codon) for a particular amino acid; and 'wobble' base-pairing, i.e. permitting non-standard base-pairing at the 3rd anti-codon position. The record is from RNAcentral. Lineage: Bacteria; Pseudomonadati; Pseudomonadota; Gammaproteobacteria; Vibrionales; Vibrionaceae. RNAcentral also lists the same sequence under 24 other names.